Molecule: ribosomal RNA, 497 nt
Filed under: uncultured bacterium
Lineage: Bacteria
Description: partial 16S ribosomal RNA
Rfam family: Bacterial small subunit ribosomal RNA
Source: RNAcentral
GAUGAACGCUGGCGGCGUGCCUAAUACAUGCAAGUCGAGCGAACAGAUGAGGAGCUUGCUCCUCUGACGUUAGCGGCGGACGGGUGAGUAACACGUGGAUAACCUACCUAUAAGACUGGGAUAACUUCGGGAAACCGGAGCUAAUACCGGAUAAUAUAUUGAACCGCAUGGUUCAAUAGUGAAAGACGGUUUUGCUGUCACUUAUAGAUGGAUCCGCGCCGCAUUAGCUAGUUGGUAAGGUAACGGCUUACCAAGGCAACGAUGCGUAGCCGACCUGAGAGGGUGAUCAGCCACACUGGAACUGAGACACGGUCCAGACUCCUACGGGAGGCAGCAGUAGGGAAUCUUCCGCAAUGGGCCGAAGCCUGACGGAGCAACGCCGCGUGAGUGAUGAAGGUCUUCGGAUCGUAAAACUCUGUUAUUAGGGAAGAACAAAUGUGUAAGUAACUAUGCACGUCUUGACGGUACCUAAUCAGAAAGCCACGGCUAACUACGUG